UGAGUUGGCCAAAAAGUUUGUUUGGGUUUUUCUGUAACAUCCUGUAGAAAAACCCAAAUGAACUUUUUGACAGCCCCAA
Molecule: microRNA precursor, 79 nt
Filed under: Ovis aries (sheep)
Lineage: Eukaryota; Metazoa; Chordata; Mammalia; Artiodactyla; Bovidae
Description: miRNA (ENSOARG00000025049.1)
Source: RNAcentral